GAAGAACCUCAAAGGCCAAAUCUAUUCAAUUCCAUGCAUGCAUGAAGAGACUAAGACUAGCCAACACUCACUUCUCUCGAAUCAAAACCCUUAUCUCCCAAAACUCUUAUCAGCAAGCUCUCAAAUCCUCACUCACUGUAUCUUGUUUCUCUCCUCUCCUUACUGAUCAAAUAUACGCUCUCUUCAUCAAGUCUGGCAACAAUCUUGAACCCUACCUUUCCACUGUUCUCAUUUCUCACUUCUCUAAACAAAAUGACCUUUCUCGAGCUCUCACUUUCCUUUUAGACACGCAUAACCCAGAUAUUAUCACCUAUAACGCCCUCAUUUCUGGGUUUGCCCGGUUUAGCCAGCCUGGGCCUGUUUUUGAGCUUUUUAAUGACUUGAGGCACCUGGGUCUGGUUCCUGAUGUGUUUACUUUUAGUUCUUUGAUCAAAGGGUGUUGCAGUUUGAGAGAGAAUGGGGUUGCACAUGGGGUUUGUUUGAGGCUGGGGUUUGAGCGUAGGGCGUUUAUUGUUAGCGGGUUGAUUGAGAAUUAUGCAAAAAAUGGGGACAUGGAGUCGGCUGAGAGGUGUUUUGAGGAGUGCUUUUGUGUGGAUAAUGUGCUUUACACAGCUAUGCUUUGUGGGUAUAUGUGGAAUGGGGAGUUUGAAAAGGGAAAAGAGGUUUUUGCUUAUAUGAGGGGUUUAGGAUUCGAAUUGAAUGAGUUUAGCUUAACUGGGGUAAUUGGUGCUUUAUUUGAUAUUAAGGAAGGGGAACAGAUUCAUGGGUUUGCUGUCAAAAAGGGACUUUUGUAUAGUUGUUCAUUGCAUUUGAAUAAUGCUGUUAUGAGUAUGUACUCCAGGUGUGGUAGUAAAGUCGAUGCUAUUAAGGUGUUUGAUGAAAUUCCUGAGCCAGAUGUUGUUUCUUGGACUGAGAGGAUAGGAGCAGCUUGUGAUGGUGAGGAAGCGUUGGAAUGUUUUGGAAUUUUGCAUUCUAUAGGUUUAGAUAUUAAUGAAUACACUUUGAUCAAUGUUUUUUCUGCCAUUGGAGGAGCGAAGUUCUUGAAAGCAGCUAAGCAAAUUCAAGCACUUUGUCAUAAGACAGGGUAUUUGCAGGUGGUUUCUGUUGGCAAUGCAUUGGUGUCCAUGUAUGGGAAGUCUAGGCAAAUGCAUGAUGCUAGGCACAUUUUUUAUGAUAUGAUCUAUCGAGAUUCUGUUUCUUGGAAUUCUCUGAUAUCUGCAUGUUCUGAGAAUGGAUUUGUUAGUGAGGCGCUGGAGGCGUUCUCACGUAUGUCUGAUCUUGCACUGCAGCCCACCAUCUAUACUCUCUUUAGCAUUCUUGAAACAGUUUCCAACUUGAAAUGUACAAAGCAGGCAAUGCAAAUCCAUUCACAUGUGAUUAAAUGUGGAUUCAUGAUAGAUGAUUCCAUGGUUUCCAGCUUGAUAAUAGCAUAUGGGAGAUGCAAUAGUAUGGAUGACUCAAAAAGGAUAUUUGGUGAGAUUGAUGAGGUAAACUUGGCACAUAUGAAAGUGAUGAUGACAAAUUUGGUCCAUAGUGGGCUUUAUGCGGAUGCUUUGAAUUUGUUUCAAACCAUAUGGAGAUCAUGCCUUGAAGUGGAUGGCAAAACUUUUAGUAUUGUCUUUAAAGCCUUUGGUGCUAUGACAGAUAUGGAACAGGGGAGAGCAAUUCAUUCCCUAUCUCUAAAAUAUGGAUUUGAUCAGGAUAGCUUUGUUGAAAGUGCUCUCAUUGACAUCUACUGUAAGUGCGGAAACAUAGGAGAUGCAGUGAAAAUAUUCAGGAGUAUGUCUACAGACAAUUUGGCUGGCUGGAAUGCCAUGGUAAUAGGAUAUGCUCAACACGGUUGUUGUCAAGAAGCUUUCAAGAUUUUCGAUGAGAUGUCUGAAUUUGGAGUUGAACCUGAUGAAAUAACUUAUAUCGGUGUCCUUACUUCAUGCUGCCAUGCAGGGCUACUGAAGAAAGCACGUUAUUACUUCAAAUCUAUGUUUGAACUUCAUGGAAUUAUCCCAUGUUUAGAACAUUAUGCAUGCAUGGUAGAUCUGCUUGGUCGAGUAGGACUCCUGGAAGAUGCAAAGGAGAUUAUAGAUCAUAUGCCUAUUCAACCUGAUGUUCAUUUAUGGCAAAUUCUUCUAUCAGCCUGCAGCAUCCACAGACAUCUUGAACUGGGGAGAGUUGCAGCUAGUAAACUUCUUGAGCUGCAACCUGAAAAUGAAUCUACUUAUAUUCUUCUAUCAAACCUGUAUGCUUCUGUGGGCAUGUGGGGUGCUGUUGGAAAAUUGAGAAAAGAGAUGAAGGAAAAAGUACUACACAAAGAACCUGGUUCUAGUUGGAUUCAAGUGGGAAGAACAAUCCAUAACUUUUUGGUCGAUGACAUCUCACAUCCUCAAAAUAAAGAAGUUUACGUAGAGUUGAUAAGGCUGUAUGGGCAAAUGUUAACUUUGCCAGAGUUGGAACUUGAUGGUGUUUUUCUAUAGACCUAUGCUUUGUGAAGCUCAGGAAAUUUCCUUAAUUUCUAUAAAAUCCAACAGAUGUCCGUCACUUUUCUUAUUACAACAGAUAUCUAUCAGUUUGUCUAACCAGGAGGUUUUCCUGUGGGAAUGGUGGCGAUUUGGAGAGGCUCUGGAUAAAACAGAAACAAUGGAGUGAAAAGCAUUUGCUGCUAUCUUUGACUUUAUUUGCCCUCGCCUUGGAAGUGGCCUUGUGCCCAUGAAAUUCUUGCUGAAUGCAGUAGCAGGAAUGUCACUGACUUUGUCGUUCAUGAUGCCAACCAAGGUAUGCUAAUCAACUUUUUCUUUCUGGGGCUUUCUGGUUUGAUAAUUGUGGAUAUUUGAUUGUGUUGCUCACAUUGGGAGUUUAUAUAGUGAAGGAACAAGUCAUUGUAUACCGGGGGCUGGGGAUGAUUAAUCUGGUGGUGUGAAUAAAGACUUUUUCAGAGCCUCAGAGGUGAGGAGUUGGGAGGCAUGCCAGCGGAUUUGUCUGGCUGUAUAAGAUUCUUUUUAGCUCAACUUGAGACAAGUUGAGUUCAUGGCAUGAUUUGUCAAUUGAUUGACUGACAAAUGAUCCACAGUUUAAUAAGCAUAAUGAUAAUUUUGAGUCUACCUGACCAUGCACACGUGCAGGUUCAAGUGGUAUCCAGGAGCUCUCUUCUGGAUCUUGAGUUGGAUUUUACUUUUUCAUGAGGAUUACAUUGUCAGGUCGCACAACUUGCUCUCUGAGAAGUAUAAUAAGCGGAUCAGAAGUGUCAAUAACUACAAAGGCCUCAAUAGUCAACGAUACCAUUCUGAUUUGGAUUCAGUAAAUGGGUAAUGAUUCCUAAUACCUGGAGCUCUACCACCCGAAAACACCAUCAUAUAGGCAAAAUCAAUUAGCUGGCAUGCCUCCUAACUUCCACUCGUUGCUAUAGCCUAUAAAGCCUACUCCUGCUGCUGCACACACCCUCCCAUUAGAAUAAUACCUCUUGUCUUUAGUGCUAAAUUUACUUAUUUUUUAUCUUUUCUUCCAAAAUAUUGUCUUGACCCUUUUGAAGGUCAAAAGAAAAGAAUCCAAUUGCAUGAGAU
Molecule: unclassified non-coding RNA, 3554 nt
Filed under: Hevea brasiliensis (rubber tree)
Lineage: Eukaryota; Viridiplantae; Streptophyta; Magnoliopsida; Malpighiales; Euphorbiaceae
Source: RNAcentral